CGGGACGUGGCGCAGCCUGGUAGCGCACUUGAAUGGGGUUCAAGGGGUCGCGAGUUCGAAUCUCGCCGUCCCGACCA
Molecule: transfer RNA, 77 nt
Filed under: Pseudomonadota bacterium
Lineage: Bacteria; Pseudomonadati; Pseudomonadota
Also listed under: 4 other names
Description: tRNA-Pro
Rfam family: tRNA
About the family: Transfer RNA (tRNA) molecules are approximately 80 nucleotides in length. Their secondary structure includes four short double-helical elements and three loops (D, anti-codon, and T loops). Further hydrogen bonds mediate the characteristic L-shaped molecular structure. tRNAs have two regions of fundamental functional importance: the anti-codon, which is responsible for specific mRNA codon recognition, and the 3' end, to which the tRNAs corresponding amino acid is attached (by aminoacyl-tRNA synthetases). tRNAs cope with the degeneracy of the genetic code in two manners: having more than one tRNA (with a specific anti-codon) for a particular amino acid; and 'wobble' base-pairing, i.e. permitting non-standard base-pairing at the 3rd anti-codon position.
Source: RNAcentral